Long non-coding RNA from Oncorhynchus tshawytscha (Chinook salmon), 420 nucleotides. The record is from Ensembl. Lineage: Eukaryota; Metazoa; Chordata; Actinopteri; Salmoniformes; Salmonidae.
GUCCUGGGCUGGUAAAGAAACCUGGAUAUGGAGGUCCUGGGCUGGUAAAGAAACCGGGAUAUGGAGGUCCUGGGUUGGUAAAGAAACCGGGAUAUGGAGGUCCUGGGCUGGUAAAGAAACUGGGAUAUGGAGGUCCUGGGCUGGUAAAGAAACCAGAUGUGGAGGUCCUGGGCUGGUAAAGAAACCAGAUGUGGAGGUCCUGGGCUGGUAAAGAAACCGGGAUAUGGAGGCCCUGGGCUGGUAAAGAAACCUGGGCUGGUAAAGAAACCAGGUGUGGACGUCCUGGGCUGGUAAAGAAACCGGGAUAUGGAGGUCCUGGGCUGGUAAAGAAACCGGAUAUGGAGGUCCUGGGCUGGUAAAGAAACCGGAUAUGGAGGUCCUGGGCUGGCAUGGUUCCACGUGGUCUGCAGUUGAGGCCGG